Molecule: ribosomal RNA, 494 nt
Filed under: uncultured bacterium
Lineage: Bacteria
Description: partial 16S ribosomal RNA
Rfam family: Bacterial small subunit ribosomal RNA
Source: RNAcentral
GACGAACGCUGGCGGCGCGCUUAACACAUGCAAGUCGAACGGAAAGGCCUGCUUUCCCUUGUGGAUUGCGGGUACUCGAGUGGCGAACGGGUGAGUAACACGUGAGUGAUCUGCCCCCAACUUGGGUAUAAGCCUGGGAAACUGGGUCUAAUUCCCGAUAGGACUGCAGGGUGGUGCCUGUGGUGGAAAACGAUUUUCUAGUGGUUGGGGAUGAGCUCGCGGCCUAUCAGCUUGUUGGUGGGGUAAUGGCCUACCAAGGCGGCGACGGGUAGCCGGCCUGAGAGGGUGGACGGCCACAUUGGGACUGAGAUACGGCCCAGACUCCUACGGGAGGCAGCAGUGGGGAAUAUUGCACAAUGGGCGGAAGCCUGAUGCAGCGACGCCGCGUGGGGGAUGACGGCCUUCGGGUUGUAAACUCCUUUCGACCGCGAGGAAGCCACCUGGUUGGAAGGGUGGUGAUGGUAGUGGUAGAAGAAGCACCGGCUAACUACGUG